GCCCCGCCUUGGGUGAGGUAAUAGAUAACGGUCUAAGAUACAAGCUGGACUUGAAGUGACACCCGAGCACUGGCCUGCAGGACCGAGGACGCUGCCCCAGGAGCCACUGCCAUGUCGGAGACAUGUGAGGCUGCGAAUAUGGCCAUGAAGUUGGGGACAACCCUGAUGAUCAAGGGCAAAAUUGCCAAAGAUGUUGAUCGGUGAGUUGGGGGAAGGGGAGCAGGUGGGGGCAGGAGGCAGCCUCGGUGCCCAGAACUUGGGCCAAGC
RNAcentral lists this long non-coding RNA (267 nucleotides) under Dasypus novemcinctus (nine-banded armadillo). Its description in RNAcentral is "lncRNA (ENSDNOG00000052382.1)". Lineage: Eukaryota; Metazoa; Chordata; Mammalia; Cingulata; Dasypodidae. The record is from RNAcentral.